AAGUACUCCGCCUGAGUAGUACGUACGCAAGUAUGAAACUUAAAGGAAUUGACGGGAGCCCGCACAAGCGUGGAGCAUGUUGUUAAUUCGACGAUACGCGAAGAACCUUACCAGUCUUGACAUCUUGGUGUAGCUAUAGAGAUAUAGUGAGAUUGCCAAAGACAGGUGGUGCAUGUUGUCGUCAGCUCGUGUCGUGAGAUGUUGGGUUAAGUCCCGCAACGAGCGCAACCCUUAUUGCUAGUUACCAUCAUUAAGUUGGGGACUCUAGCGAGACUGCCAGUGAUAAAUUGGAGGAAGGUGGGGAUGACGUCAAAUCAUCAUGCCCUUUAUGACCUGGGCUACAAACGUGCUACAAUGGCUGAAACAAAGAGAAGCGAAGCAGUGAUGUGGAGCGAACCUCAAAAAAGCAGUCUCAGUUCGGAUUGAAGUCUGCAACUCGACUUCAUGAAGUUGGAAUCGCUAGUAAUCGCGAAUCAGAAUGUCGCGGUGAAUACGUUCUCGGGCUUUGUACACACCGCCCGUCAAACCAUGAGAGUUUGUAAUACCCGAAGCCGGUGGCAUAACCGUAAGGAGUGAGCCGUCUAAGGUAGGACAGAUGAUUGGGGUU
This 607-nucleotide ribosomal RNA is filed under the name uncultured rumen bacterium. RNAcentral describes it as "bacterial SSU rRNA". It matches the Rfam family "Bacterial small subunit ribosomal RNA", at positions 862 to 1482 of the family's 1533-position model. The record is from RNAcentral.